RNAcentral lists this ribosomal RNA (305 nucleotides) under uncultured bacterium. RNAcentral's name for it is "bacterial SSU rRNA". It matches the Rfam family "Bacterial small subunit ribosomal RNA", at positions 337 to 635 of the family's 1533-position model. The record is from RNAcentral.
UCCUACGGGACGCAGCAGUAGGGAAUCUUCCACAAUGGGCGAAAGCCUGAUGGAGCAACGCCGCGUGGGUGAAGAAGGUCUUCGGAUCGUAAAACCCUGUUGUUAGAGAAGAAAGUGCGUGAGAGUAACUGUUCACGUUUCGACGGUAUCUUACGGGGAAGCCACGGCUAACUACGUGCCAGCAGCCGCGGUAAUACGUAGGUGGCAAGCGUUAUCCGGAAUGAUUGGGCGUAAAGGGUGCGCAGGCGGAACCAUAAGUCUGAAGUAAAAGCCAUCGGCUCAACCGAUGUAAGCUUUGGAAACUG